RNAcentral lists this ribosomal RNA (468 nucleotides) under uncultured bacterium. RNAcentral's name for it is "partial 16S ribosomal RNA". It matches the Rfam family "Bacterial small subunit ribosomal RNA", at positions 28 to 507 of the family's 1533-position model. The record is from RNAcentral.
GACGAACGCUGGCGGCGUGCUUAACACAUGCAAGUCGAACGGAAAGGCCCUGCUUUUGUGGGGUGCUCGAGUGGCGAACGGGUGAGUAACACGCGAGUAACCUGCCCUUGACUUUGGGAUAACUUCAGGAAACUGGGGCUAAUACCGGAUAGGAGCUCCUGCUGCAUGGUGGGGGUUGGAAAGUUUCGGCGGUUGGGGAUGGACUCGCGGCUUAUCAGCUUGUUGGUGGGGUAGUGGCUUACCAAGGCUUUGACGGGUAGCCGGCCUGAGGGGGUGACCGGCCACAUUGGGACUGAGAUACGGCCCAGACUCCUACGGGAGGCAGCAGUGGGGAAUAUUGCACAAUGGGCGGAAGCCUGAUGCAGCAACGCCGCGUGCGGGAUGACGGCCUUCGGGUUGUAAACCGCUUUCGCCUGUGACGAAGCGUGAGUGACGGUAAUGGGUAAAGAAGCACCGGCUAACUACGUG